UACGUACGAGGCGAGCGUUAUCCGGAAUUACUGGGCGUAAAGCGCGCGCAGGCGGAUGGGUAAGUAGGGCGUGAAAUCUCCCGGCCUAACUGGGAGGGGUCGCCCUAAACUGCUCGUCUUGAGGACAGCAGAGGUAGGUGGAAUUCCUGGUGUAGUGGUGAAAUGCGUAGAGAUCAGGAGGAACACCGGUGGCGAAGGCGGCCUACUGGGCUGUCUCUGACGCUGAGGCGCGAAAGCUCGGGGAG
RNAcentral lists this ribosomal RNA (245 nucleotides) under uncultured bacterium. Its description in RNAcentral is "partial 16S ribosomal RNA". It matches the Rfam family "Bacterial small subunit ribosomal RNA", at positions 524 to 768 of the family's 1533-position model. The record is from RNAcentral.